RNAcentral lists this ribosomal RNA (439 nucleotides) under uncultured bacterium. Its description in RNAcentral is "partial 16S ribosomal RNA". It matches the Rfam family "Bacterial small subunit ribosomal RNA", at positions 339 to 795 of the family's 1533-position model. The record is from RNAcentral.
CUACGGGACGCAGCAGUGGGGAAUAUUGCACAAUGGAGGAAACUCUGAUGCAGCAACGCCGCGUGGAGGAUGACACUUUUCGGAGCGUAAACUCCUUUUAUAUAGGAAGAAGAUGACGGUACUAUAUGAAUAAGCGCCGGCUAACUCCGUGCCAGCAGCCGCGGUAAUACGGAGGGCGCAAGCGUUACUCGGAAUCACUGGGCGUAAAGAGCGUGUAGGCGGAUUAAAAAGUCAGAAGUGAAAUCCUAUAGCUUAACUAUAGAGCUGCUUCUGAAACUCUUAAUCUAGAAUAUGGGAGAGGUAGAUGGAAUUUCUGGUGUAGGGGUAAAAUCCGUAGAGAUCAGAAGGAAUACCGAUUGCGAAGGCGAUCUACUAGAACAUUAUUGACGCUGAGACGCGAAAGCGUGGGGAGCAAACAGGAUUAGAUACCCUAGUAGUC